GGAUGGUGUGUUCAGGGUGAUGAGCUGUGUUGCUUUUACGCCAAACAUAACGUUUUGCAUUGUUGCCAAAAAGUUCAAUUUUGGUUUCAUCUGACCAGAGCACCUUCUUCCACAUGUUUGGUGUGUCUCCCAGGUGGCUUGUGGCAAACUUUAAACUACACUUUUUAUGGAUAUCUUUAAGAAAUAGCUUUCUUCUUGCCACUCUUCCAUAAAGGCCAGAUUUGUGCAAUAUACGACUGAUUGUUGUCCUAUGGACAGAGUCUCCCACCUCAGCUGUAGAUCUCUGCAGAUCAGAUCAGGCCCUGAAGCCAGGAUAUGCAUAUAAUUGGUACCAUUGGAAAGAAAACACUUUGAAGUUUGUAGAAAUGAAAAUAAUGUAGGAGAAUAUAACACAAUAGAUAUGGUAGGAGAAAAUCCAAAGACAAACCAACCAGAAUACAUUUGUUUUGAGAGACCAUCCUCUUACAAUGGCAAGUAUACGGUCAUACGGAAAAUUAGCUCCCUGGAUGCACUUCCUUUCUCUUCCACGGGGUGUCAGCAGUCUAUGUUCCAGGGUUUAGGCUUGUAACUUCAAAAAACGAAUAAGAAAUAACAGUUUUAGUAGAAGGACACAGUCUUGGAAAUUCUGGUUUGCGCACGCCAUUAAGAUAGGACGCACCUGCUAAAAUCGGUUUCCUAUUGAACAUACUUCUUUCCGUAAGAAAUAUUAUAGUUUGAUUACAUUUUGGGGUAUCCGAGGAGUGAUUAGAAACUUUUAACUUGUUGAAAUAAAUUUUAGGGGUAGAUUUUCAGAUUCCUUUCUUUUUUUGUAUGUUGAACGAGUGGAUUACUCAAAUCGAUGGUGCCAACUAAACUGACUUUUUGGGAUAUAAAGAAGGAUGUUAUCUAACAAAACGACACUACAUGUUAUAACUGGGACACUUUGAAAAAUCAGAGGAAGAUUUUCAAAAAGGUUGGCCCUCUAACUCCCUGACCCUGUAACUGCAGUGAGAUUGCCAAGAUGUGACCACAGAUGGUAUAGAUGCAUGGAAGGGCUAAUUUUACCAAGAACAGUGAACCUCAACCCUCCCUAAUCGGCUGAAGUAAUGGCGACAAUGGCGUUCAGUAUGGUCCUGCACCACUUCUACCUGAGUCCGAGCCAACAACCUGUACACAGCAUCCUGUCAAAGCUAUCAACUGCCUUUUCUCACAUGCCUUUUCUCUCAGGAGUGCGACAUUAGUCCACUUGGAGUGAGUAUAGAGAGAGAUCCCGUCAAAGCUUCUUUGAACAUGUGCCAAACAAACUGAAACACUGUCUGAAGAAGAACAUGAAGAAGCGCCAGAAGGAUGAAUGGUGGGAGGGAGGGGGGCUGGUCAAUUGUUAAAGUUUUCUUGUGCUUUUUAUGGAGUUUUCUUAAUGUUCUGGGAACAAUUUGAGAACAUUAAUUUAAAUUUAACCAUGAAGUAACCCGUAGGAAACGUUAUGCUGAAGUAUUGAAAUUCCCACUGAAGAAUGUUGCUUUUUAACGGUCUCUGAACUAUUAUAUUUGAGAACAUUCCCAAUGUAACCAUGUUUGAACUUUUAGAAAACCUUCUGUUAAAGUAAUGAAAUUCCAAG
Molecule: long non-coding RNA, 1597 nt
Organism: Oncorhynchus tshawytscha (Chinook salmon)
Lineage: Eukaryota; Metazoa; Chordata; Actinopteri; Salmoniformes; Salmonidae
Source: Ensembl